GGCCGAACCAGCAACUUGAAAGAACGAAAAAUUGAAGUCACGAUCAAUUGCCGUACUAAAAGAGUAGGGGGCAUUUUGCGAAUAGUUCAAAGUAAAUUUUGAUAAUGACAUUAUUUACUUUCAGGUCUUGACCAACUCAUGUGCCAGCAGUCGCGGCAAGACAUGGAAGGCUAGCGUUAUUCAUCUUUAUUAGGUUUAAAGGGUACCUAGACAGUGAAUAUUAGCUUUUAUACAAUAAUAGUACUUUAUUUACUAGAGUUUAAUGUAAGGAAAUUCAGAACGGUGAGUGUAGGGUUAAAAUCCUCUGAUACCACUUAGAAACUGGUUUAGGUGAAAACAGGUUCUUAUGUAAAAACUGACGUUGAGGGACGAAGGCUCAAAAACAGAAAUGGGAAUAGCCACCCCAGUACUAAGAGCAGACAAUGAUGAAUGUCAUGUGUAAGUAUAUUAUUUAUACAUAAAUAAAAGUGUAAACAUUCCACCUCAAGAGUAAUAUGGCAACAUAUAAACUGAAAUCACUAGACCGUUUCUAGAACUCGUAGUGAAGUAUGUUAUUUAAUUUGAUGAUCCACAAAGGACCUUACCACAAUGUGUAUAGUAGUACAUAGGUAUUACGGACAAGUGUUGCACGGCUGUCUACAGUUGAUAUCGCGAGAGUUGAUUAAGUUCAGUAAUCAACGUAAUCCCUGACUUUAUUUAAAUUAAAGUAUAUAUUUUUGGUGCAAGAACCCUUACCGAAUUUAUUAUAUGGGAACAUGACAAGUCCUCAUGACCAAAAAUAAAAAUUGAUAGUAUUGUGGGCAAUAGACGUGCCACAUUUCGCCUUUACAAAAAGAUGCAAAAUUGAAAAAUUAAGCUAAUC
This 862-nucleotide ribosomal RNA is filed under the name Gyalideopsis sp. Nelsen 2066a. Its description in RNAcentral is "SSU rRNA". It matches the Rfam family "Bacterial small subunit ribosomal RNA", at positions 381 to 1273 of the family's 1533-position model. The record is from RNAcentral. Lineage: Eukaryota; Fungi; Ascomycota; Lecanoromycetes; Ostropales; Graphidaceae.